GCAGCUUAGGUGCUUCCUUCCACACAUCGACACACUCCGGUUCUUGUUUCAUGUCCUCUUUAAGAACCACACGUUUGAUGAAGAGUGUAGAGUGAAGAACUGUGGGCCUGAUGAAUAAAUGGGCAUCAACCUUCUGAUUAUUAUUUACGUCCAUCCAUCCUCCGAGGCCGGCAGGAUGAAUGAAGCUUGUAGAAGUUCCUAAUGAACUCUGAGAGGACGAGACAGACGGAUGGAGAGAGGGAAGCUGGAGGUGAAGGAACGAAUCACUCCUUCCUGUUCAAAAGCUUUAGAUAAUAGCAGGCUGCAGAUCCAUCACAGGAAGGUGUGGGGGGGCCGACAGCAGAUUUAACAUCAUGAAGUGGUCAGCCAUGUUUGGUGGAUCAGAUAUUUUACACUUCAGUGUGACGGCAGUUAAUGUAAUCUUUAACCCACUAUGCAGUAUCAUCCGAAAAAUUCAAAUGUAUUGUAUCUUCUGGAAGUGAAAUAUCACCUGAAAAAACAGUUGCUUAAUUUAUGCGUGCGUAUGUAAAACAUUACCUGUUUUUUUCCCUCCUGCAGAUCGUGGGUCCAGCAGAUGGGUCGAACUACAUCGUGGAUUAUUACGGCGCCCGGCUGACCCGCCUGUCCAUCACCAACCAAACCUACAGGAAGCCACAUCUGUCUCUGUGAAAACAGCUUCACACACUGCCCGUCAUAAAUACAGAGAAAACUGCAUACAACGGAGGAUCCCCUUAACUUCUUCCACAUCCACAGUUCAAGAAUGAAUGUGAUAUUUAUUCAAACCUUCAGCCACCUGACUGAAGACAUUUCAAGCAGCAUUCGUCUGGCUCCGCAUGUUUUCAGAUUCAUCCAUCAAAUGUUAGAUUGAUCAGUACUAUAAGCCAUUCGUUUCUUCAAGCAUAAUUACUGUGUUUCCACCUCUUCUGUAGAGUACGGUGUUAAACUAACAAUAUCAAGUCUCUCUGGGUCACAUUUAUAUCACACCAGCUGGUCAUUUAUUUAAAUGUGUUGUACUAUAUUGUGAUGUUUCUUUGCUGUUAUGUAACAAUGUUUUUCUAUGAGAACAGACAUUGUAAAUAAAGUUUAUUUUUGCUUUCCGUCUA
This is a long non-coding RNA of Notothenia coriiceps (black rockcod), 1103 nucleotides long. RefSeq lists it as uncharacterized. NCBI's taxonomy places the organism in Eukaryota, Metazoa, Chordata, Actinopteri, Perciformes, Nototheniidae. The transcript is spliced from 2 exons. The record is from RefSeq and is a predicted model, not a curated record.